UGACCGGGCUGGGCAGCCGCGCGUCUGUUUAAUUCGACGUGAGGAAAGUCCGGGCUCCAUAGGGCAGGACGCCGGGUAACGCCCGGCGGAGGUGACUCCAGGGAAAGUGCAACAGAAAUAAACCGCCGUUUUGGCUUACGCCGACGCGGCAAGGGUGGAAAGGCGGGGUAAGAGCCCACCGCUUCCCCGGUAACGGGGAAGGCCCUGUAAACCCCGUCCGGAGCAAGAUCAAAUAAAGGCGCAUGGGGCGGCCCGUCCCCGCUUUUGGUAAGAUCGCGUGAGCGCGCCGGCGACGGCACGCCCAGACAGAUGGCUGUCCACGACAGAACCCGGCUUACAGGCCCGGUCAAUAU
This 353-nucleotide RNase P RNA is filed under the name Clostridiales bacterium. RNAcentral describes it as "RNase P RNA component class A". It matches the Rfam family "Bacterial RNase P class A". Rfam says of the family: Ribonuclease P (RNase P) is a ubiquitous endoribonuclease, found in archaea, bacteria and eukarya as well as chloroplasts and mitochondria. Lineage: Bacteria; Bacillati; Bacillota; Clostridia; Eubacteriales. The record is from RNAcentral.